AACGCGAAGAACCUUACCUACCCUUGACAUCCUCGGAACCCAGCAGAGACGUUGGGGUGCCUGAAAGGGAGCCGAGAGACAGGUGCUGCAUGGCUGUCGUCAGCUCGUGUCGUGAGAUGUUGGGUUAAGUCCCGUAACGAGCGCAACCCCCAUCUUUAGUUGCUAGCAGGUAAAGCUGAGAACUCUAGAGAGACUGCCGGUGAUAAGCCGGAGGAAGGUGGGGAUGACGUCAAGUCCUCAUGGCCCUUACGGGUAGGGCCACACACGUGCUACAAUGGGCGGUACAAAGGGAAGCGAAGCCGUGAGGUGAAGCGAAAUCUACACUAAAGCCGCUCGUAGUCCGGAUUGGAGUCUGCAACUCGACUCCAUGAAGUUGGAAUCGCUAGUAAUCGCGGAUCAGAAUGUCGCGGUGAAUACGUUCCCGGGCCUUGUACACACCGGCUAC
This 445-nucleotide ribosomal RNA is filed under the name uncultured bacterium. RNAcentral's name for it is "bacterial SSU rRNA". It matches the Rfam family "Bacterial small subunit ribosomal RNA", at positions 958 to 1397 of the family's 1533-position model. The record is from RNAcentral.